UUAACACAUGCAAGUCGAGGGGUAUAGUUCUUCGGAACUAGAGACCGGCGCACGGGUGCGUAACGCGUGGGAAUCUGCCCUUGGGUUCGGAAUAACAGUUAGAAAUGACUGCUAAUACCGAAUGAUGUCUUCGGACCAAAGAUUUAUCGCCCAAGGAUGAGCCCGCGUCGGAUUAGCUAGUUGGUGAGGUAAAGGCUCACCAAGGCGACGAUCCGUAGCUGGUCUGAGAGGAUGAUCAGCCACACUGGGACUGAGACACGGCCCAGACUCCUACGGGAGGCAGCAGUGGGGAAUAUUGGACAAUGGGCGAAAGCCUGAUCCAGCAAUGCCGCGUGAGUGAUGAAGGCCUUAGGGUUGUAAAGCUCUUUUACCCGGGAUGAUAAUGACAGUACCGGGAGAAUAAGCCCCGGCUAACUCCGUG
Molecule: ribosomal RNA, 421 nt
Filed under: uncultured bacterium
Lineage: Bacteria
Description: bacterial SSU rRNA
Rfam family: Bacterial small subunit ribosomal RNA
Source: RNAcentral